GAUGAACGCUAGCGGGAGGCCUAACACAUGCAAGCCGAGCGGUAUUUGUUCUUCGGAACAGAGAGAGCGGCGCACGGGUGCGGAACACGUGUGCAACCUGCCUUUAUCUGGGGGAUAGCCUUUCGAAAGGAAGAUUAAUACCCCAUAAUAUAUUGAGUGGCAUCACUUGAUAUUGAAAACUCCGGUGGAUAGAGAUGGGCACGCGCAAGAUUGGAUAGUUGGUGAGGUAACGGCUCACCAAGUCAAUGAUCUUUAGGGGGCCUGAGAGGGUGAUCCCCCACACUGGUACUGAGACACGGACCAGACUCCUACGGGAGGCAGCAGUGAGGAAUAUUGGACAAUGGGUUAGCGCCUGAUCCAGCCAUCCCGCGUGAAGGACGACGGCCCUAUGGGUUGUAAACUUCUUUUGUAUAGGGAUAAACCUACUCUCGUGAGAGUAGCUGAAGGUACUAUACGAAUAAGCACCGGCUAACUCCGUG
This 479-nucleotide ribosomal RNA is filed under the name uncultured bacterium. Its description in RNAcentral is "partial 16S ribosomal RNA". It matches the Rfam family "Bacterial small subunit ribosomal RNA", at positions 28 to 507 of the family's 1533-position model. The record is from RNAcentral.